Molecule: ribosomal RNA, 460 nt
Filed under: uncultured bacterium
Lineage: Bacteria
Description: partial 16S ribosomal RNA
Rfam family: Bacterial small subunit ribosomal RNA
Source: RNAcentral
CCUACGGGAGGCAGCAGUGAGGAAUAUUGGUCAAUGGACGAGAGUCUGAACCAGCCAAGUAGCGUGAAGGAUGACUGCCCUAUGGGUUGUAAACUUCUUUUAUAUGGGAAUAAAAUGUUCCACGUGUGGGAUUUUGUAUGUACCAUAUGAAUAAGGAUCGGCUAACUCCGUGCCAGCAGCCGCGGUAAUACGGAGGAUCCGAGCGUUAUCCGGAUUUAUUGGGUUUAAUGGGAGCGUAGGUGGAUUGUUAAGUCAGUUGUGAAAGUUUGCGGCUCAACCGUAAAAUUGCAGUUGAAACUGGCAGUCUUGAGUACAGUAGAGGUGGGCGGAAUUCGUGGUGUAGCGGUGAAAUGCUUAGAUAUCACGAAGAACUCCGAUUGCGAAGGCAGUUCACUGGACUGCAACUGACACUGAGGCUCGAAAGUGUGGGUAUCAAACAGGAUUAGAUACCCCAGUAGUC